RNAcentral lists this long non-coding RNA (4795 nucleotides) under Linum usitatissimum (flax). RNAcentral's name for it is "long non-coding RNA (LUSI_LNC007524)". Lineage: Eukaryota; Viridiplantae; Streptophyta; Magnoliopsida; Malpighiales; Linaceae. The record is from RNAcentral.
CUCAACGUUCUCAUUGAUAGAAAGGUGGUACAUAUACAAAGUGAUGAGAAGCUAAAAGACAAUGUGCACAGCUGGUAGCUGGCUGAAAGAGAGUAGGUGAGCUUGAGGCUCUAACGGAAUUUGCAGAAAUGCAGAGGAACAGAGAAGAGGACGAUGAGCUGUUCUGAUCAGUGCAACGAUGACGUUUUGUUCUUAUCUUCAUCACUUAACAGAACGCUCCGUUUCAUUUAGUCGUUGGUGUAGAGAGGAAGAAACGCUCCGUUUCACUUGAAGCUUGGAGAGUGUGAAGUUUGGCGGGAAAAUGAAAAAUCAUUUCCAAUACCCCUCCUCAAGCUGGUGGGCACAGAUUGUGCAGACCAAGCUUGGAUAUUAAGUAGUUGAAUGGUGCUGGGGAGAGGGCUUUCGUCAGAACAUCAGCAACCUGAACUCCAGUAGGGACAUGGAUGAGCUUGAUUAUCUUGGAUUGGACCUUUUCUCGAACAAAAUGGCAAUCCAAUUCAAUAUGUUUUGUUCUUUCAUGGAAGACUGCAUUCUCUGCCACAUGCAUUGCAGACUGGUUAUCACAGAAGAUUGUUGCUGCUUGGUAGUGCUUUGCUUGGAAUUCUGAGAGCAGAUAGAGUAGCCACUGCAGCUCACUAGCAGUAUGAGCAAGUGCACGAUACUCUGCCUCACAGGAACUUCUGGAAAUGGUGCUUUGUUUCUUGCUUUUCCAGGAAAUUGGUGAGUUUCCCAGGAAGACACAGAACCCUGUCACAGAUCUUCUGGUGUCUGGACAUGCUGCCCAGUCUGAAUCACUAUAAGCCUGCAACUGAAGAUUUGAAGUAGAAGAUAGAAGAAUUCCAGUAGCAGGAACUCCCUUCAAGUAUCUUAGGAUCCUUGUAACAGCCUUGUAAUGAUCGUUUAAGGGUCUAGACAUAAACUGGCUCACCUGUUGAGUGGCAAAGCUAAUGUCUGGUCUUGUAUUGUUUAAGUAGAUCAGCUUCCCUACUAUUCUUCUGUAUAAUUCCGGAUUGUGGAAUUCAUCAUCACCUGUAGAGGACAGAUGUGUCUUGUAGUCCAUUGGGGUAGCAAGUGGCUUGCUCUCCAACAUGUCUGCUUCUUCCAGUAGUUCUAGUAUGUAUUUUCUUUGAGAUAAAUGUAUUCCUGACACACUUCUUGUGACUUCUAAUCCCAGAAAAUACUUUAGUUCACCCAAGUCUUUGAUCUUAAAUGCACUUGUAGUUCCUCUUUCAACUUCAAAAUCUCUGUUAAGUCGUUUCCUCCCACAAUCAAAUCAUCAACAUAAACCAAAAUAGCUGUGAACGACAUACCACCAUUCUUCAGGAAGAGAGAGUGAUCGACUUUGCUUUGAGUGUAGCCUAACUGUUGUAGUUUGUCUGAAAGCUUGCAGUACCACUGCCUUGAUGCUUGCUUGAGACCAUAGAGCGAUUUUAGCAAUUUGCAUACUGGUCUUUUCAGUGCACUGCUUACUCUCAUUCCUUGAGGCACCUUCAUGUAGACUUCUUCAUGCAGGUCACCAUGAAGAAAUGCGUUGUUCACGUCUAACUGGUGUACAAACCAGUCUCUUGAAGCAGCAAGUGCAAGAAAGGUCCUUAUGGUUGUCAUUUUGACGACUGGUGAGAAAGUUUCUUGAUAGUCGACCCCUUCUUCUUGUGUGAACCCCUUUGCUACUGCUCUUGCUUUGAACCUUUCAACUGAGCCAUCAGAUUUAUACUUAAUUCUGUAAACCCAUUUGCUUCCAACUUCUUUCUUUCCUUCAGGCAGAUCAACAACUUCCCAUGUGUUGUUAAUCUCCAAAGCCUUUGUUUCCUGAUUCAUUGCUUCAGUCCACCUAGGGUCUCUGGCAGCUUCUGCAUAGGACCUAGGUUCCCUUUCUGUUGUUAUACUCAAAGCAAAGUGUUUAUGUUCACGAUCCAUAUCAUCAUAAGACAAGACAGUAUUGAGAGGAUGAGCUAUCUUUCCAGCUAUGUGUGCAUUAGGACAUACCUUUGAAACAUCACAGUUGGGGUUGCCUUGAUGCACAAGGAGCUGACAAUGAUAAUCCUGCAGGUAGGAGGGUGGUUUGUGAUGUCUGGUGCUUUUUCUGUUGUGUGGAGAAUUUUGAGGGACAGGGGAUUGAGAAGAGGUUUGAGAGGCAGGUGACUGGGAAGGAAUAUUGUGUUCACUGUCACUGGUAUUACUGUGUUCGUCAUCAUUGACAUUAUCAGUGCUGGGAAUGUACUCAUCCUCACUAUGAAUGAUAGGGUGUGGUUCAGUUUCAGGUGUAGGAUGAUCAGAAGGAUUGGUGGAGUGGCCAGUAUCCGGUAAAUCGGUGAAGUCUUGGUCAAAGGAAGGCAUUUGAUCAGCGGAAGAGUAGACUUGGUUGGUGCUGUUGCUGGUGUGAAAAGGAAAGACAUUUUCAUAGAAUUUGACAUCCCUAGAGACAAAUGUUUGGUGAGAAUCUAAGUCAUAGACUUUGUAACCCUUGAUUCCAGGUGUGAACCCUAUGAAGACUCCUUUUCUAGCUCGUUUCUGGAAUUUGGUUCUGUGUCCAGCAAGUGUGCUUGCAUAACACAAGCAACCAAAGACUUUUAAGUCUUCCAGUUUGGGUUUAGAAUGGUGAAAGGCUUCGUAGGGGGUGUUAUUGUCAAGGAGGUGAGUGGGGAUACGGUUCAUUAGAAACACAGAAUGCUUAACACAAUCAGACCAGAAAGUCAAGGGAAGGUUGGCUUGAAAUUUGAGAGCUCUAGCUAUGUUUAAAAUUUGUUGGUGCUUUCUCUCAACCUUACUGUUUUGUUGAGGUGUUUCUACACAAGAUGUUUCAUGGAGAAUCCCAUUUUCCUGAUAGAAGAGAGGCAUAAAAAAUUCUUUGCCUUGAUCACUACGUAUUCGUUGAACACUAGUUUUGUGUUGGUUUGUGACAUAGGAGCAGAAAUUUUGUAGAGAUGAUCUAGCUUCUGACUUUAGUUUCAGCAUCAUGAUCCAAGUCAUUCGUGUGAAAUCAUCAACAAUGGUUAAGAAAUAGAGAUAGCCAUCAUAUGAGGGGCAGGAGUUUGGACCCCAAAGAUCAACAUGAAUUAAUUCAAAAGGAGUUUUAGUGCUGGAGACACUAUGAGGGAAAGACAGACGUUUUUGACGAGCAAAAUGACAAACAUCACAGGGGGCUAAGUGGAAAGUUUCUAUACUAGGGAGAAUUUUCUUAAGAAAGGGAGUUCUAUGGUGGGAAACAUGUCCUAGACGGUAAUGCCAUAAAUCAAAGGGCUUAUUUCGUUGAGUGGAGGCGAUGUGACUAACUGGUUUGCAGGUUGUCAGCUUGUAGAGUCCCUUGUGCAGUUCAGCUAAACCAAUCGUGGUGUUCCUCGAUAGGUCCUGCAACACACAAUGGGUGGAAGAGAAAGUCAGUCUCAAUGGUUGUUGAGCUGUUAGUCUACUGACUGAUAUCAAAUUGAAUGCGAAAUCAGGCACAUAUAGAACAUUAUGUAGUGAUAAGGUGUCAUUAAUCAACACUGUUCCAGAAUGAGUGGCUUGGACUUGCUGUCCAGUAGGCAGAGUGAUCAUCAAAGCAUCAAUUUGUUUGCUCGAUUCCAUUAGGUUGAGUGAGCUGACUACAUGGUCUGAUGCACCUGUGUCUACAAUCCAAAUAAUUUCAUUUGGUGUGGAAUGCAUGAAACUACUACAACAAUACUUGCCUGCUGAGUACAUCAGUGCAGUUGGCUUAUGAGAACCUGGUGUUUGGGAUGUGCCUGGUUGUGCUGCUGGAUCCUUGAGCCUCACAGCAUUCAUAAGUUGGGAGAACUGAUCCUGUGUCAGUUGGAUGUUGCCUCCUUCACUUGAUUGUGAAGCUGCAUGAACCUGUGGUUUGAAGGCUCCAUGAUUUGCAGCAUAGGAAGGUCUAGGACCAUAUUGUUGUCUUGGUCCUUGCUGUGGCAUGGGCCUGGGAGUGACUCCUGGUGGAAAGCCAAUUUUGAAGAAGCAUCUAUCCACUGUGUGGUUUUGCAUUUUGCAGAAGGUGCAAAAUAGAUUCUUGCCCUUUUGAGGUCCUGGUCGAAAACCUCCUGGUUGAGCAGCUUGCUGGCCUGCAUAGUCGGCUCGCCAGCGUCGGCGGCAAUUCAGAUUCGGCGUCCAUAAGAGAAUUAUUUUGAAAUUAAUUUUUGAGUGAGAUUGUGAAAAUUUAUAAACCCCCGCCCCCAUUUUGUCAUGGAUUAGCCUUAUUUUUCAGAAUGGUUAUAUUAUUAACUCGUUUGUGUUCAAAUGAAAUGGCUCAACGUUCUCAUUGAUAGAAAGGUGGUACAUAUACAAAGUGAUGAGAAGCUAAAAGACAAUGUGCACAGCUGGUAGCUGGCUGAAAGAGAGUAGGUGAGCUUGAGGCUCUAACGGAAUUUGCAGAAAUGCAGAGGAACAGAGAAGAGGACGAUGAGCUGUUCUGAUCAGUGCAACGAUGACGUUUUGUUCUUAUCUUCAUCACUUAACAGAACGCUCCGUUUCAUUUAGUCGUUGGUGUAGAGAGGAAGAAACGCUCCGUUUCACUUGAAGCUUGGAGAGUGUGAAGUUUGGCGGGAAAAUGAAAAAUCAUUUCCAAUAUCGCGUUCUCCGAUACAAGCUCCGCCAUGUUAGUCGUCUGCGCCGUCGGCGGCUGCGCGUGGAGGAGGUUGGUUGUUGUGUAGUGCGGGAUCCAUGACUUGUAAGGAAUUGCCUCCUGCAUUUUUUUUUUGUGUUGCAGAGAUUUGUGAAUCAAAUGAUGAGUGGAUUGAUGAUCAAAUGGGUUUUAUAUUGGUGGGGGGAGACUUGGAAAUGUGGCGUCAACGGUGGUUGGAGG